GCGGACGGGUGAGGAACACGUACGAGACCUGCCCUUGGAUGGGGAAUAAGCCCUCGAAAGGGGGUCUAAUGCCGCAUACGGUCCUGGGUGUAGAGGCCUAGGAGGAAAGCCGAAAGGCGUCCGAGGAGGGGCGUGCGGCCGAUUAGCUAGUUGGUGGGGUAAGGGCCUACCAAGGCGACGAUCGGUAGCUGGUCUGAGAGGAUGGUCAGCCACACUGGGACUGAGAUACGGCCCAGACUCCUACGGGAGGCAGCAGCAGGGAAUCUUGCGCAAUGGGCGAAAGCCUGACGCAGCAACGCCGCGUGGGUGAUGAAGGCUUUCGGGUCGUAAAGCCCUUUUCUGUGGGACGAUGAUGACGGUACCGCAGGAAGAAGCCACGGCUAACUACGUGCCAGCCGCCGCGG
Molecule: ribosomal RNA, 404 nt
Filed under: uncultured bacterium
Lineage: Bacteria
Description: bacterial SSU rRNA
Rfam family: Bacterial small subunit ribosomal RNA
Source: RNAcentral